RNAcentral lists this ribosomal RNA (253 nucleotides) under uncultured bacterium. RNAcentral describes it as "partial 16S ribosomal RNA". It matches the Rfam family "Bacterial small subunit ribosomal RNA", at positions 524 to 776 of the family's 1533-position model. The record is from RNAcentral.
UACAUGGGGUGCAAACGUUGCUCGGAAUUAUUAGGCGUAAAGCGCGCGUAGGCGGUUACUCAAGUCGGAUGUGAAAGCCCUCGGCUUAACUGAGGAAGUGCACCCGAAACUGAGUAGCUAGAGUACCAAAGAGGGUCGCGGAAUUCCCGGUGUAGAGGUGAAAUUCGUAGAUAUCGGGAGGAACACCGGUGGCGAAGGCGGCGACCUGGGUGGAUACUGACGCUGAGGCGCGAAAGCGUGGGGAGCAAACAGG